UACGUAGGGUGCAAGCGUUGUCCGGAAUUAUUGGGCGUAAAGAGCUCGUAGGCGGUCUGUCGCGUCUGCUGUGAAAACUCGGGGCUUAACCCCGGGCCUGCAGUGGGUACGGGCAGACUAGAGUGCGGUAGGGGAGACUGGAAUUCCUGGUGUAGCAGUGAAAUGCGUAGAUAUCGUUUGGAACGCCAAUGGUGAAAACAGGUUGCUGGGAGUGUGCUGACGCUGAGACACGAAAGCCAGGGGAGCAAACGGG
Molecule: ribosomal RNA, 253 nt
Filed under: uncultured bacterium
Lineage: Bacteria
Description: partial 16S ribosomal RNA
Rfam family: Bacterial small subunit ribosomal RNA
Source: RNAcentral